UCAUAACCAUUGUCCACCAAAGAGCAGCACUGAGCAGAAAUAACACUGCUCCUGUUCAUUCUCCAUCAGUGAGGGGCCGGUGCUGGACACUGUGUAGGGACGCGGGAAUGCAAAGUCAUACACAUGACUGUGACUGAUGCACUAUCUCCAGGACAUGGAGUAGCAUUUCCGGACCUACAGCAAGACGUUGGAUGAAGGCAUAGCCCCAGAAAUAACACUGGUCCUGUUCAUCAGUGAGGGGCCGGUGCUGGACACUGUGUAGGGACACGGGAAUGCAAAGUCAUGCACAUGACUGUGACUGAUGCACUAUUUCCAGGACAUGGAGUAGCAUUUCGGGACCUACAGCAAGACGUUGGAUGAAGGCACAGGCCUAGGAAUCAUGCACAUACACAGAAACAUUUGCCCAAAUUCUAGAGGUAACCUCCUUUAGUAUGCCCAGAGGAAGGGCCAUACAGUAGCCAUGGAUUCCCUACAGGUUUCCUCCCCUCUGGAGGUUUUUCCUGUCCUGAGUAUUAGUUACUGUACGCUCUUUGUGAGUGAUGGGAGGUUACAAAAAAUCCCCUACACAAACAUUUUAAUAAAUAAUAAAUAAAGUUCCCCUUUUUUAAAACUG
Long non-coding RNA from Hyla sarda, 613 nucleotides. RefSeq lists it as uncharacterized. The record is from RefSeq and is a predicted model, not a curated record. Lineage: Eukaryota; Metazoa; Chordata; Amphibia; Anura; Hylidae. The transcript is spliced from 3 exons.